RNAcentral lists this ribosomal RNA (2919 nucleotides) under Klebsiella pneumoniae. Its description in RNAcentral is "bacterial LSU rRNA". It matches the Rfam family "Bacterial large subunit ribosomal RNA". Lineage: Bacteria; Pseudomonadati; Pseudomonadota; Gammaproteobacteria; Enterobacterales; Enterobacteriaceae. The record is from RNAcentral.
GGGUUGUGAGGUUAAGCGACUAAGCGUACACGGUGGAUGCCCUGGCAGUCAGAGGCGAUGAAGGACGUGCUAAUCUGCGAAAAGCGUCGGUAAGGUGAUAUGAACCAUUAUAGCCGGCGAUGUCCGAAUGGGGAAACCCAGUGCAAUUCGUUGCACUAUCGUUAACUGAAUACAUAGGUUAACGAGGCGAACCGGGGGAACUGAAACAUCUAAGUACCCCGAGGAAAAGAAAUCAACCGAGAUUCCCCCAGUAGCGGCGAGCGAACGGGGAGCAGCCCAGAGUCUGAAUCAGCUUGUGUGUUAGUGGAACGGUCUGGAAAGUCCGACGGUACAGGGUGAUAGUCCCGUACACCAAAAUGCACAGGCUGUGAACUCGAAGAGUAGGGCGGGACACGUGGUAUCCUGUCUGAAUAUGGGGGGACCAUCCUCCAAGGCUAAAUACUCCUGACUGACCGAUAGUGAACCAGUACCGUGAGGGAAAGGCGAAAAGAACCCCGGCGAGGGGAGUGAAAAAGAACCUGAAACCGUGUACGUACAAGCAGUGGGAGCACCUUCGGGUGUGACUGCGUACCUUUUGUAUAAUGGGUCAGCGACUUAUAUUCUGUAGCAAGGUUAACCGUAUAGGGGAGCCGCAGGGAAACCGAGUCUUAACUGGGCGUUAAGUUGCAGGGUAUAGACCCGAAACCCGGUGAUCUAGCCAUGGGCAGGUUGAAGGUUGGGUAACACUAACUGGAGGACCGAACCGACUAAUGUUGAAAAAUUAGCGGAUGACUUGUGGCUGGGGGUGAAAGGCCAAUCAAACCGGGAGAUAGCUGGUUCUCCCCGAAAGCUAUUUAGGUAGCGCCUCGUGAAUUCAUCUUCGGGGUAGAGCACUGUUUCGGCUAGGGGGUCAUCCCGACUUACCAACCCGAUGCAAACUACGAAUACCGAAGAAUGUUAUCACGGGAGACACACGGCGGGUGCUAACGUCCGUCGUGAAGAGGGAAACAACCCAGACCGCCAGCUAAGGUCCCAAAGUCAUGGUUAAGUGGGAAACGAUGUGGGAAGGCACAGACAGCCAGGAUGUUGGCUUAGAAGCAGCCAUCAUUUAAAGAAAGCGUAAUAGCUCACUGGUCGAGUCGGCCUGCGCGGAAGAUGUAACGGGGCUAAACCAUGCACCGAAGCUGCGGCAGCGACACUAUGUGUUGUUGGGUAGGGGAGCGUUCUGUAAGCCUGCGAAGGUGUGCUGUGAGGCAUGCUGGAGGUAUCAGAAGUGCGAAUGCUGACAUAAGUAACGAUAAAGCGGGUGAAAAGCCCGCUCGCCGGAAGACCAAGGGUUCCUGUCCAACGUUAAUCGGGGCAGGGUGAGUCGACCCCUAAGGCGAGGCCGAAAGGCGUAGUCGAUGGGAAACAGGUUAAUAUUCCUGUACUUGGUGUUACUGCGAAGGGGGACGGAGAAGGCUAUGUUAGCCGGGCGACGGUUGUCCCGGUUUAAGCAUGUAGGCUGGUUGUCCAGGCAAAUCCGGAUAAUCAAGGCUGAGGUGUGAUGACGAGGCACUACGGUGCUGAAGUAACAAAUGCCCUGCUUCCAGGAAAAGCCUCUAAGCAUCAGGUAACAUUAAAUCGUACCCCAAACCGACACAGGUGGUCAGGUAGAGAAUACCAAGGCGCUUGAGAGAACUCGGGUGAAGGAACUAGGCAAAAUGGUGCCGUAACUUCGGGAGAAGGCACGCUGGUGUGUAGGUGAAGUCCCUGCGGAUGGAGCUGAGACCAGUCGAAGAUACCAGCUGGCUGCAACUGUUUAUUAAAAACACAGCACUGUGCAAACACGAAAGUGGACGUAUACGGUGUGACGCCUGCCCGGUGCCGGAAGGUUAAUUGAUGGGGUUAUCCGUAAGGAGAAGCUCUUGAUCGAAGCCCCGGUAAACGGCGGCCGUAACUAUAACGGUCCUAAGGUAGCGAAAUUCCUUGUCGGGUAAGUUCCGACCUGCACGAAUGGCGUAAUGAUGGCCAGGCUGUCUCCACCCGAGACUCAGUGAAAUUGAACUCGCUGUGAAGAUGCAGUGUACCCGCGGCAAGACGGAAAGACCCCGUGAACCUUUACUAUAGCUUGACACUGAACAUUGAGCCUUGAUGUGUAGGAUAGGUGGGAGGCUUUGAAGCGUGGACGCCAGUCUGCGUGGAGCCAACCUUGAAAUACCACCCUUUAAUGUUUGAUGUUCUAACGUUGGCCCCUUACCGGGGUUGCGGACAGUGUCUGGUGGGUAGUUUGACUGGGGCGGUCUCCUCCCAAAGCGUAACGGAGGAGCACGAAGGUUAGCUAAUCCUGGUCGGACAUCAGGAGGUUAGUGCAAUGGCAUAAGCUAGCUUGACUGCGAGCGUGACGGCGCGAGCAGGUGCGAAAGCAGGUCAUAGUGAUCCGGUGGUUCUGAAUGGAAGGGCCAUCGCUCAACGGAUAAAAGGUACUCCGGGGAUAACAGGCUGAUACCGCCCAAGAGUUCAUAUCGACGGCGGUGUUUGGCACCUCGAUGUCGGCUCAUCACAUCCUGGGGCUGAAGUAGGUCCCAAGGGUAUGGCUGUUCGCCAUUUAAAGUGGUACGCGAGCUGGGUUUAGAACGUCGUGAGACAGUUCGGUCCCUAUCUGCCGUGGGCGCUGGAGAAUUGAGGGGGCUGCUCCUAGUACGAGAGGACCGGAGUGGACGCAUCACUGGUGUUCGGGUUGUCAUGCCAAUGGCACUGCCCGGUAGCUAAAUGCGGAAGAGAUAAGUGCUGAAAGCAUCUAAGCACGAAACUUGCCCGAGAUGAGUUCUCCCUGAGACUUUAAGUCUCCUGAAGGAACGUUGAAGACGACGACGUUGAUAGGCCGGGUGUGUAAGCGCAGCGAUGCGUUGAGCUAACCGGUACUAAUGAACCGUGAGGCUUAACCUUACAACGCCGAAG